CCUUGCCGGUGACCUUGCCAGCCAGCCAGACGAUGCGGAUGCCCAAUGGUUCCAACCAGCUACGCAGAUUGGCGAGGUGCUGCUCGGCCAGCAAUUCGGUGGGCGCGGCAAGUGCGACCUGUUUGCCCUGCUCCACCGCCAACAUUGCCGCCAGUGCGGCGACCACGGUCUUGCCGCUGCCGACAUCGCCCUGUACCAGCCGCAGCAUCGGCGAGGGUUGCGCAAGGUCAUGCGCAAUCUGCUCGAACACGCGUU
This 255-nucleotide non-coding RNA is filed under the name Xanthomonas phaseoli pv. phaseoli. Lineage: Bacteria; Pseudomonadati; Pseudomonadota; Gammaproteobacteria; Lysobacterales; Lysobacteraceae. RNAcentral also lists the same sequence under 1 other name. The record is from RNAcentral.